AUGGACAGCAGCCAGGCCCCUGACCCCGACUCCCGGGGCGCUCCGAAGCUGGGUGGCUGGACUACUGGGAGCAAGCAAUUGACAGCAGCCUGCAGGAGGCAACUCGAAAGAUCUGGGCUGCUGAAUAAUAAGGGAUCGCUGCUGGCCUACUCAGGUUAUGGGGACACUGACGCACAGGUCACCGCAGCCAUCGCCAGUAACAUCUAUGCUGCCUACGACAGGAAUGGGAACCAAGCGUUUAAUGAAGACAAUCUCAAAUUCAUCCUCAUGGACUGCAUGGAGGGCCGUGUAGCCAUCACUGGAGUGGCCAACCUUCUGCUGUGUAUGUAUGCCAAGGAGACCGUGGGCUUCGGAAUGCUCAAGGCCAAGGCCCAGGCCUUGGUGCAGUACCUGGAGGAGCCCCUCACCCAAGUAGCAGCAUCUUGAUGGGCAUUAGUGAAAGCUGGGGUCAGAAGAGAGAGAACCAUUUGGAGGGGCAGAGCCCCCUGGGAAAAUCUUCUUGGACUAUGAAGGGAGGGUAGGACUUUAUUUUUUCCAAGAAUAAACUUCAACUCCU
This is an RNA transcript of Otolemur garnettii (small-eared galago), 556 nucleotides long. It is a transcript of the gene named ragulator complex protein LAMTOR2 pseudogene, with no coding region annotated. The record is from RefSeq and is a predicted model, not a curated record. The transcript has a single exon. NCBI's taxonomy places the organism in Eukaryota, Metazoa, Chordata, Mammalia, Primates, Galagidae.